UGGGGAAUUUUGGACAAUGGGCGAAAGCCUGAUCCAGCAAUGCCGCGUGUGUGAAGAAGGCCUUCGGGUUGUAAAGCACUUUUGUCCGGAAAGAAAUGGCUCUGGUUAAUACCUGGGGUCGAUGACGGUACCGGAAGAAUAAGGACCGGCUAACUACGUGCCAGCAGCCGCGGUAAUACGUGGGGUCCAAGCGUUAAUCGGAAUUACUGGGCGUAAAGCGUGCGCAGGCGGUGGGGCACGUGCGGUUGG
Molecule: ribosomal RNA, 249 nt
Filed under: uncultured bacterium
Lineage: Bacteria
Description: partial 16S ribosomal RNA
Rfam family: Bacterial small subunit ribosomal RNA
Source: RNAcentral